RNAcentral lists this ribosomal RNA (440 nucleotides) under uncultured bacterium. RNAcentral's name for it is "bacterial SSU rRNA". It matches the Rfam family "Bacterial small subunit ribosomal RNA", at positions 338 to 795 of the family's 1533-position model. The record is from RNAcentral.
CCUACGGGUGGCAGCAGUGGGGAAUAUUGGACAAUGGGCGAAAGCCUGAUCCAGCCAUGCCGCGUGAGUGAAGAAGGCCUUAGGGUUGUAAAGCUCUUUCACCGGUGAAGAUAAUGACGGUAACCGGAGAAGAAGCCCCGGCUGACUCCGUGCCAGCAGCCGCGGUAGUACGAAGAGGGCUAGCGCUGCUCGGAAUGACUGGGCGUAAAGGGCGCGUAGGCGGUUUAUGCAGUCAGAUGUGAAAUCCCCGGGCUUAACCUGGGAACUGCAUUUGAGACGCAUAGACUAGAGGUCGAGAGAGGGUUGUGGAAUUCCCAGUGUAGAGGUGAAAUUCGUAGAUAUUGGGAAGAACACCGGUGGCGAAGGCGGCAACCUGGCUCGAUACUGACGCUGAGGCGCGAAAGCGUGGGGAGCAAACAGGAUUAGAUACCCUGGUAGUC